GUUCUUGUAGUUGAAUGACAACGAUGGUUUUUCAUAUCA
This 39-nucleotide transfer RNA is filed under the name Gazella subgutturosa (goitered gazelle). RNAcentral's name for it is "partial tRNA-Glu". The record is from RNAcentral. Lineage: Eukaryota; Metazoa; Chordata; Mammalia; Artiodactyla; Bovidae.